CCUACGGGAGGCAGCAGUGAGGAAUAUUGGUCAAUGGACGCAAGUCUGAACCAGCCAUGCCGCGUGCAGGAAGACGGCUCUAUGAGUUGUAAACUGCUUUUGUACGAGCGUAAACGCAGAUACGCGUAUCUGUCUGAAAGUAUCGUACGAAUAAGGAUCGGCUAACUCCGUGCCAGCAGCCGCGGUAAUACGGAGGAUUCAAGCGUUAUCCGGAUUUAUUGGGUUUAAAGGGUGCGUAGGUGGUUGGAUAAGUUAGUGGUGAAAUCCCGAGGCUCAACCUCAGAAUUGCAUUUGAUACUGUCAGGCUAGAGUGUAGUUGCGGUAGGCGGAAUGUAUGGUGUAGCGGUGAAAUGCUUAGAGAUCAUGCAGAACACCGAUUGCGAAGGCAGCUUACCAAGCUACUUCUGACGUUGAGGCACGAAAGCGUGGGGAGCAAACAGGAUUAGAUACCCCUGUAGUC
Molecule: ribosomal RNA, 460 nt
Filed under: uncultured bacterium
Lineage: Bacteria
Description: partial 16S ribosomal RNA
Rfam family: Bacterial small subunit ribosomal RNA
Source: RNAcentral